Molecule: long non-coding RNA, 207 nt
Filed under: Mytilus galloprovincialis (Mediterranean mussel)
Lineage: Eukaryota; Metazoa; Mollusca; Bivalvia; Mytilida; Mytilidae
Source: RNAcentral
GAAAAUAAACAGUAUUCGGGAAAAGUGAUUCAAAUUACCAAAGAUAAAUCCUCUGUUUUUUCUGGUGAAUGAGAAAAUUAUACUGGCACUAUCACAUUACAACAGAAUUGACAAAAUAACCCAGUUCAAACACGAAAACAAUAAAAAAAAAAGAGAGAAUCAAAACUAUAUACAAUCAAAAUAGAAACAAAUAAACUAGCAAUUCAC